This 1251-nucleotide ribosomal RNA is filed under the name metagenome. RNAcentral's name for it is "bacterial LSU rRNA". It matches the Rfam family "Bacterial large subunit ribosomal RNA", at positions 1659 to 2925 of the family's 2925-position model. The record is from RNAcentral.
UGAGGUAGGUGAGGAGAGAAUCCUAAGGCCGACGGGAGAAGCAUUGUUAAGGAACUCGGCAAAAUGACUCCGUAACUUCGGGAGAAGGAGUGCCAGUGAGAGCUGGCCGCAGAGAAUUGGCCCAAGCAACUGUUUAGCAAAAACACAGGUCUAUGCAAAACCGUAAGGUGAAGUAUAUGGGCUGACGCCUGCCCGGUGCUGGAAGGUUAAGGGGAGAGGUUAGCGCAAGCGAAGCUUUGAACUUAAGCCCCAGUAAACGGCGGCCGUAACGAUAACGGUCCUAAGGUAGCGAAAUUCCUUGUCGGGUAAGUUCCGACCCGCACGAAAGGCGUAAUGAUUUGGGCACUGUCUCAACAAUGCACCCGGUGAAAUUGAAAUACCAGUGAAGAUGCUGGUUACCUGCGCCAGGACGGAAAGACCCCAUGGAGCUUUACUCCAGCUUGAUACUGGGAUUCGAUAUUGUAUGUACAGGAUAGGUGGGAGGCGAAGAAGCAUUGACGCCUGUUGAUGCGGAGCCGCUGUUGGGAUACCACCCUUGCAGUAUUGGAUUUCUAACCAGCAGCCGUGACCCGGCUGGGGGACAAUGUCAGGCGGGGAGUUUGACUGGGGCGGUCGCCUCCGAAAGGGUAUCGGAGGCGCUCAAAGGUUCCCUCAGAAUGGUUGGAAACCAUUCGAAGAGUGCAAAGGCAGAAGGGAGCUUGACUGCGACACCGACGGGUGGAGCAGGUACGAAAGUAGGACUUAGUGAUCCGGUGGUAUAAAGUGGGAUUGCCAUCGCUCAACGGAUAAAAGCUACCCUGGGGAUAACAGGCUUAUCACUCCCAAGAGUUCACAUCGACGGAGUGGUUUGGCACCUCGAUGUCGGCUCAUCGCAUCCUGGGGCUGAAGUAGGUCCCAAGGGUUGGGCUGUUCGCCCAUUAAAGCGGUACGCGAGCUGGGUUCAGAACGUCGUGAGACAGUUCGGUCCCUAUCCGGCGUGGGCGUAGGAUAUUUGAGAGGAGCUGGCCUUAGUACGAGAGGACCGGGCUGGACUGACCGCUGGUGUAUCUGUUGUUCCGCCAGGAGCAUGGCAGAGUAGCCAAGUCAGGAAGGGAUAAACGCUGAAGGCAUCUAAGCGUGAAGCCCCCCUCAAGAUGAGAUAUCCCAACGCAAGUUGUAAGACCCCUUGAAGACGACAAGGUAGAUAGGGCAGAGGUGGAAGUGCAGUAAUGCAUGGAGCUGACUGUUACUAAUCGGUCGAGGGCAUAACCG